RNAcentral lists this ribosomal RNA (386 nucleotides) under uncultured bacterium. RNAcentral describes it as "bacterial SSU rRNA". It matches the Rfam family "Bacterial small subunit ribosomal RNA", at positions 338 to 716 of the family's 1533-position model. The record is from RNAcentral.
CCUACGGGAGGCAGCAGUGGGGAAUAUUGGACAAUGGGCGAAAGCCUGAUCCAGCAAUACCGCGUGUGUGAAGAAGGCCUUAGGGUUGUAAAGCACUUUCAAUUGGGAGGAAAACCUGCCGGUCAAUACCCGGUAGCUUGACAUUACCUUUAGAAGAAGCACCGGCUAACUCCGUGCCAGCAGCCGCGGUAAUACGGAGGGUGCGAGCGUUAAUCGGAAUUACUGGGCGUAAAGCGUGCGUAGGCGGUUCGUUAAGUCAGAUGUGAAAGCCCCGGGCUCAACCUGGGAACUGCAUUUGAAACUGGCGGACUAGAGUUUAGUAAGAGGGGGAGUGGAAUUCCAGUNAUGCGGNAANGCAUGUAGAUAUCNGAAGGAACACCAGUGGA